Molecule: non-coding RNA, 2855 nt
Organism: Epinephelus lanceolatus (giant grouper)
Lineage: Eukaryota; Metazoa; Chordata; Actinopteri; Perciformes; Serranidae
Source: RefSeq, a predicted model, not a curated record
UCCCUCCUUUCUUUUGUUACAGAUUCCCUCACUGAAAGAGGAACUUCAGAUUCCUUUUCAAAGACCUGGGACCUUUGGCACACACGCAGACACCUGGACGAACCUGCAACUAACAUUUAAACUCCACAACUUUAUUUUUAAGACGCCACAUCUGCAUUCUUUUCUUCUGGUGUGGCUUCCUUCCUUUCAUCUCUCUCCUCUCCUAUUCUCCUUCCACUUAGCACUCCCUCUCUUUACAGUCCAUUUUCUCCCUUCCUACCACUCCCUUCUCUACGAUGACAACUUCUAUUCCUCCUCCCCAACCGAGAGGCAUCGACUUCAGCCUGCCGACCUGCGGAGAAACUCAGUGCAAUGACCACGGUACCUGUGUGCCUCCUCUGGGUGGUGGCACUGAGAUGGUGUGUGAGUGUAUGCUGGGCUACCAGGGAGAAUUCUGCGACGAAACAGUCAACGGGGCGCUAAGUAUACCGCUGACCCUGACUGUGCUGGCCGUCAUCAUCGGGAUACUGAUUGUGGCUUUCAUUGUUGCCAAGAUGAGGCAAAAGCAAAAGAAAAGACACAGGAAACUUAUGGCACAAAAAGAGGGAUACAACAUCGCUGUGUAAUGUGGAUAAAUCUCCAUUGUACCUGAGGUUAACCAUGACAUUGUGGCCAGUGACACUCCAUCAGCAUUCUUCUGCAGCUUCUGCUUAUAGCACAGUUUGUUGAAUUUUGUAAAAAGGAAAUUACAUCUACUACUCUUGAUGGCUGACUUGUGGAUACUCCUCUUUGACUGAUGCUGCAGCAUCCCAGAAACUCAAACACUGAACUGAAUGGAGCUUUAACAGGAUUAAGAGUGACACAACUUCACUGCAGUAAUUGUGUUUUUCAUGUAUCAAUUCAUGAUGGAAAAACUGCACAGUAUAUCCCCAAACACAUGAUUAAUUCAGGACAUGUAUCACAGAGCUUUCAAGCUGAUAAUUUAGACAGGAAAUAGAUGCCUGACUUGCAGUAUGUUUACAGGCAUGGGUAUAACACUGGUAUUUUGUUAAGCUGUCUUUACUAGAGUGUUUACCUCACGAACACAGCCGAGGCUUCAAGCUGAAACAAGACAUUUGCUGUUUUUCAUCUCUACAGCAGCAUACAUUUAGGGAUAACACCUUUGUGUCCAUAUUUCCGUAUAGUAUACAGUGUACGCACCAAGUGUUUAACGCAAAGAAAUGCAUCUCUUUACAGAUGGAUAAAAACAGGACCACAUAAACAGCAGAAAAGUAAAUUCUGACUGUUUUUCACCAUCCAGUCUUGUGGGGUAUGCACAUGGAGCAGUACAGAGACAAAACAGGACCAUUUAUACAUGGCGACUAAUAAGAGAGGAGGUUGGUCUGUCAGGUGUGUAGCCAGUUUUAGUUUGUGAGAAGAUACUGUAUGAACCACUAUGAAUGCACUCUAUAAGUGUUACACAGCUUGGAUACUACCAAUGUUAGCUAGUUUAACAUGCUGUCGAACUUUGUACCUGGAAAAAAAUGUAUUACAUUUGUUAAUCUGUUAGCUAGUUUGUUUUUCUUUUGGCAUAGUGCACACAAUUCAUCUGAAAUCUGCCACAAAAUUUCAUGCCUCGUUUCCAUUUUCGUAUGUGACUGGUGUCUAUAGAUCCGGAAAUAUAGAGAUGAUGUUCUAGUGUGCACUGCAAGGAAGUGCAUUUCUUUAUGGAUGGAUAGAAACCUGAUAGAAACUACUUGUAGCCAUAGGGAGAAGUUUUGAAUAUGCGCUUAAAACAUUAUCGGGACAAACGAGUCAUAAAAACGAUCUGACCGUAUAUAAUGUAUAACCAACAUUUAGGAGAAUAACAUUACUCAGAUUCACAAUGUGUUCAAACUAGAUAAACAAGUUCUUUGUAUCAUACAAAUUCAUUUUACAAUCCACAGGCAACUGAACUGAAGAAAAUAGCCUGUUAGCUAGUUAGCCUGCUGUACAAGACGUAGAUGCAACCAUUUUGUUAUUGUGGGCAUAAUCUUUGACUUCUUACGUACUGAAUUUGUCACUCUGCAAGAAAUGAACAGACUUUAAUGGAUUAAAUGAUCACGUUCGCAGUUUGAGUGCCCAUUGAGAAAUGUCAUGAUUUGUCUGUACCGCAACGCUACUUCCUUGAUCACAUUUCCCAUAUGAAGAAGCUUAUUUCCAUAGAUGAGCUGAUUGUGUCCUUUAUCACCGGCUACCUUUGCACAAUGAUGCAAAUGUUCACCUAUCACUACUCUCUUUGACGAAACAAUAGCUUCCUUUUAAAUACAGAGAAAGCACUGGUGACUGCGACAGCGAUGGUGAUUCUUACUGCCGUGUUUUUGUACACAACACCGAAGGAGUGUGUUUAUACAGGUGUUGAAAACUGAAAAUGGUUUCCAUAUCACGAGGGGUAAGCCAGGGAUUUUAACCAGAUUUGAUCUGUCAUUACCUUUUGAUGAAGACUUUAGUCUUUACUCCGUCCUUAGUUAUUUUGAAGAGUGUAGCCAGUGUUAAGUGCUUUUAUGUGCUGUAUUGUCUGUUUCUUUUGUUCACUACUGACUGAAUUACUAUGCUGUGUAUGUCUGUACUCUGUUGAUAUCAAUAUAUAUAUAUAUAGCCUAUGAAUAUAUAUAUGAUCUUGUCUUUCUCUCUGUAUUUGUGUUGCUGGAUUACACAGUAAUUCAUGUAGCCAGACUGCAUAUAACCACUGAACAUUGAUUGUGGAGGAGAUUUUGAUGACUGUCGUAUCAUCUGCAAACAGUCUUAAUCCUCUGGCAUUUAUGAGGCUGUAGAAUAAAAACUGUGUACCCAGGUGUGUGUGUUAGGCACACUGAGCAUGUACAUUUUUGUAUAUAAACUGAUUGUAAGUUGCUGAA